This 626-nucleotide ribosomal RNA is filed under the name fungal endophyte. Its description in RNAcentral is "eukaryotic LSU rRNA". The stretch from base 179 to 332 matches the Rfam family "5.8S ribosomal RNA". Lineage: Eukaryota; Fungi. The record is from RNAcentral.
UAAAGAGUUCUAUAACUCCCAAACCCAUGUGAACAUACCUAACGUUGCCUCGGCAGGUCGCACCUACCUUGUAGCACCCUACCCUGUAGGGCCUACCCGGGAGGUGCGGGUAAGCCUGCCGGCGGCCCACCAAACUCUGUUUGAUAUUGAAUUCUGAACCUAUAACUAAAUAAGUUAAAACUUUCAACAACGGAUCUCUUGGUUCUGGCAUCGAUGAAGAACGCAGCGAAAUGCGAUAAGUAAUGUGAAUUGCAGAAUUCAGUGAAUCAUCGAAUCUUUGAACGCAUAUUGCGCCCAUUAGUAUUCUAGUGGGCAGGACCGUUCGAGCGUCAUUUCAACCCUUAAGCCUUCGUUGCUUAGUGUUGGGAGCCUACGGUAACGUAGCUCCUCAAAGUUAGUGGCGGAGUUGGUUCACACUCUAGACGUAGUAAUUUUUUAUCUCGCCUAUUAGUUGGACUAAUCCCCUGCCGUAAAACCCCCAAUUUAUCAAGGUUGACCUCGAAUCGGUUCAGACAAACUCGCUAAAUUGAAGCAUCUUAGUCAGCGAAGGAAAAGAAACCAACAGGGAUUGCCCUAGUAACGGCGAGUGAAGCGGCAACAGCUCAAAUUUGAAAUCUGGCCCUCGG